This 1574-nucleotide long non-coding RNA is filed under the name Manihot esculenta (cassava). Its description in RNAcentral is "long non-coding RNA (MESC_LNC006556)". The record is from RNAcentral. Lineage: Eukaryota; Viridiplantae; Streptophyta; Magnoliopsida; Malpighiales; Euphorbiaceae.
UAUAACAUAUAACUGAAUGUAGAUGAGAACAAUCUAAACAUUUGAUUAUCUUUGCUUGUUGAAGAAAAGUAUAGGUCAAAAUUGACAAUAUUGUUUCUACUCUAAAUUCUAUAAGCACCUUAAAGACAUCAAAUGCAACAGGAAUCGGUAGAUUGGCAUGACUAACUCAAUUCUACUAUCACACGUUGGAAUUUCCUCGAUUAGCUCAAGGACAUCAAGGCAACUUGUGAAAUCAAAGGUACAACUACUUUUGGUGGUUAAUUAUUCUCCUUGAACAAGCAACUCAAAAUCUAAUAGAUGAAAUUAUUAUUCAACAAUGUCAAGUUCAGCUUUUUCUUUUUCAAAUUAUCUAUUGAAGAUCUAUCAACUUUGGUUAUGUUUUCUAUUUCUUUCGUACCCUAACUCUUCUUGCAUCUCUUUUCUUCCACCAUCUAAGGAAUACAUAAACUCUGGUAUACCAACUACCAGAGCAUGUCUAUUUCAAAAUAUUGGAUGCUCAUCCUCAUGGCAUAUAUGCAUGCAAAUAGUACCAAUAAUUAUACUUGGUCAUGGUAGAAAAAGUAUCCAUACCUUUAGAAGAACAAGCUUAUACUCUAUAAGCUCAUUGUAAGUGCGUUGUAAUUUAUCAUUAUUUGCAUUCAUUUCUACGAGUUCUGCCUCAAGUUCCCCAAGUUUUAACUACCAUGCCCAAAUAGAAGAAAAAAUUAGAGCAUGACAACCACGAGCCAAUUCAAGGGACAUAAUCAACUUCUUUACAUACAUCUAGACCAUCCAUAUCAAUGUCAGUUCGUGUAACGGGCUUUGACGAAGGUGACACACCCGCCUUCUCCAUUUGAUCCUUGAAAAAUCGUAACUUCCGUGACAUCUCUCCACAUUUUUUGAUCUUAACAACAAAUAAGUAAAUAGAUAAAUAAAUAAUACUUCUACCGACAUAAUCUACUUUCAAACUGAUAAAAGAUUCAGAGUAUUUGAUGACAGAAGUAAUAUUUCACAACAGGACAGAAGCAGAGUUAAAUCUUAUGCUAUUUCCAUUGUUUAUAUUAUCAUCGUUGUCAUUUCAAUCUCCAAACUAGAUAAGGCACAGUAUUUACUGCUUCAAACAAGCAGUGAGUUUAGUCUCUCAUUCCAUGGUAAAUUGUUGAACGCAAAGAACGCAAACAAACUGAUUAUGCAUUUCUGGAAGUAUCUUUUUCUUUGGCCUGAGCAUGUGUGUGUUUGACAGAAAUAAUAAAGUUGAUGUGUGAUCAAGGCUGUACAAAAGAGAAAUUCCAACUGAAGGGGGAGAGAGACAUAGAGGCAACAAAAACAGAGAUGAGCACAAUCUUCUGGAAGUCAUUUUCAAUCUUCACCAUACAUGGUAAAAUGUUUGUCAUAAUCAUAAAUGGUUUAAAAUUCUUGUGAAUUCUUCUUGAAUUACUACAACAGUACUACUCAGUGCAAGACAAUGUAAACAAAAUCAAGCAGUUUAUCAGUUUAUCCACCAAUCUAGUCACUUUAACCACUAUGCAUUAAGUUCAUUUUCACUUCUAAUUAUUAAGUCACACCUCAAGAUACAAGCAAGACACAACGCAGUG